UACGUAGGUCCCGAGCGUUGUCCGGAUUUAUUGGGCGUAAAGCGAGCGCAGGUGGUUUAUUAAGUCUGGUGUAAAAGGCAGUGGCUCAACCAUUGUAUGCAUUGGAAACUGGUAGACUUGAGUGCAGGAGAGGAGAGUGGAAUUCCAUGUGUAGCGGUGAAAUGCGUAGACAUAUGGAGGAACACCGGCGGCGAAAGCGGCUCUCUGGCCUGUAACUGACACUGAGGCUCGAAAGCGUGGGGAGCAAACAGG
This 252-nucleotide ribosomal RNA is filed under the name uncultured bacterium. RNAcentral's name for it is "partial 16S ribosomal RNA". It matches the Rfam family "Bacterial small subunit ribosomal RNA", at positions 524 to 776 of the family's 1533-position model. The record is from RNAcentral.